Molecule: ribosomal RNA, 1113 nt
Filed under: human gut metagenome
Description: bacterial LSU rRNA
Rfam family: Bacterial large subunit ribosomal RNA
Source: RNAcentral
GGAGCGUGCGAAGGCGCAAGCCGCUGUAUACGCUCUGACGCCUGCCCGGUGCCGGAAGGUUAAGAGGAUCCGUCAGGCUUCGGCCGAAGCGGUGAAUUCAAGCCCCGGUAAACGGCGGUGGUAACUAUAACCAUCCUAAGGUAGCGAAAUUCCUUGUCGGGUAAGUUCCGACCUGCACGAAUGGCGUAACGACUUCCCCACUGUCUCGACCAGGAGCUCGGCGAAAUUGCAGUACGAGUAAAGAUGCUCGUUAAGCGCAGAAGGACGAAAAGACCCCGGGACCUUUACUAUACCUUGGUAUUGGCAUUCGGUGUGGAUUGUGUAGCAUAGGCGGAAGGCUUCGAAGCCACGGCGCCAGCCGCGGUGGAGCCGCAAGGUGAAAUACCGCUCUGUUCGCAUUGGAUGUCUAACCUCGACCAGUCAUCCUGGUCAGGGACAGUGCCUGGCGGGUAGUUUAACUGGGGCGGUUGCCUCCCAAAGAGUAACGGAGGCGCUCAAAGGUUCCCUCAGCCCGGUUGGCAAUCGGGUGGCGAGUGUAAGUGCACAAGGGAGCUUGACUGCGAGACUGACGGGUCGAGCAGGGACGAAAGUCGGAACUAGUGAUCCGGUGCCGGUGUACGGACGCGGCAUCGCUCAACGGAUAAAAGGUACCCCGGGGAUAACAGGCUGAUCAUUCCCAAGAGUCCAUAUCGACGGGAUGGUUUGGCACCUCGAUGUCGGCUCGUCGCAUCCUGGGGCUGGAGCAGGUCCCAAGGGUUCGGCUGUUCGCCGAUUAAAGCGGCACGCGAGCUGGGUUCAGAACGUCGUGAGACAGUUUGGUCUCUAUCCUCUGCGCUCGUCGGAAUGUUGAGGAGGCCUGCCCAUAGUACGAGAGGACCUGGGUGGACGAACCUCUGGUAUGCCGGUUGUCACGCCAGUGGCACGGCCGGUUGGCUACGUUCGGAAGGGAUAACCGCUGAAAGCAUCUAAGCGGGAAGCCUGCUCCAAGAUAAGCAUUCCAUAGGACUACGGGUCCUUGAAGUCCCCAUGCAGAACACGUGGUUGAUAGGCCGGACGUGGAAGCCCCGCGAGGGGUGGAGCCGACCGGUACUAACGGACGAAAGGCAACACAAC